RNAcentral lists this long non-coding RNA (296 nucleotides) under Manacus vitellinus (golden-collared manakin). RNAcentral describes it as "lncRNA (ENSMVIG00005007967.1)". Lineage: Eukaryota; Metazoa; Chordata; Aves; Passeriformes; Pipridae. The record is from RNAcentral.
CGUGGCCCCGGAGCGGGUGGCGGCUCUGCCGGGCUGGCGCAUCGCUCUUCCCGGGCGCCCUACCCUUCGGAGCGGAGCAGCGCAACUCCAGGAGCGGCAGGACCAUCGGGCAGGCAGCUCUGAAAGAAAAGCCCUGUGCCUGCAGAGUGUUGUCAGUUGCAGACAACUGUACCCACAUGAAACCCUGCUGCUGUCUCUGCAUGAUUUCAAAGUUAAGAGUCCCAUAAAGCCUAAUGGAUUUUUCCUUCCAUUUUCCUGACAAACUCGCCAAAUUCCUGAGAAACACAAACUUGUUU